This is a long non-coding RNA of Hippoglossus stenolepis (Pacific halibut), 1494 nucleotides long. RefSeq lists it as uncharacterized. Lineage: Eukaryota; Metazoa; Chordata; Actinopteri; Pleuronectiformes; Pleuronectidae. The record is from RefSeq and is a predicted model, not a curated record. The transcript has 3 exons.
CACAUCGUCAACAACAACUAAGGUGGUCCGUCAACCAAUAAGAGAGAGCGACAGAGAGAGAAAACACAAAGAGAAAGAUAGAAGAAGAAAGACAGAGAGGUCAUAACGAGUUCUUUUCUCUCGGAGGAAUUGUUCUUUGGAUUAUUUCCCUGCGCUCUGCGUCGACACGUCAUGUGAUUGAACCCGAAACUAAAUGUUAGUUUAAUAGUUUAUGUGACGGCCAUCGCCAAAGCGUCACCUUUGACUGCUGCUUCAAUCCAAAAGACAAUCUAGCAUCUAGGAGGACAACUGCUGGGGCGACGAUGCAAGUAGCUCACUGAGGACAUCCGGCAACCGUCUCCACAUAUGUUCAUUCAUAUCUGCAUUUAAGGGAACCUGGAAACUGAGCAGCAUGGAGGUGCUGAGUGGCCCCUGGGCUAAUCUGGCCCUGCUCCUGCGACAGACCCUCAUGCACACAGACAGAGGGACAGGCAGCUUUGUUCCUCUGUGGCUCUUCGGCCUGAUGCUGUUCCUGUCCGUCUCUCUGCUGCUGCUGCAGCUGAUUAUCUAUCUCAGCUGGAAACUCAGGCAGGUUGAGGACGAUCAGUCGGGAUUUCCGCAGAACAGAAGCGCCCUCCACAGGCAGAUGUACAGAACUACAAACCUGAGGAACAGGAGCGCCGGCUCCCACUCUCACACCUGACCGGACAGACUCUUUUAGAGAUAUGGACCCAUCACUACAUUUCAGUAAUAAAACUGACUGAACUGCCUGGAACAGUAUGGACGCUGAAGCUUGUUUGGAUGUCAGAUGAUGUGUGGAAAUGUCUUGAAACACUCAGGGAAAUCUGUGUUUGAGUAAAUGUGUUUAUAAUUUUCCAUCUCAUUUGAACUUGGGAAAACAACUUCAUCAGCUAUUUUUGUCACACCAAACUCACUGUUCUGGAUCGAAAGCUCAAACUUACAAGUUUUAAAUCACAUUAACCAAUGAAAAGAGUGAACGAGGGAGGACCAAUGAGAGUAUAACAAUCCUUUAUUCAAACAGUGUUACACGGGGGAGGAGUGGCUGUGUGGGGAGACACAAGACAGUUAAGCUGCUAGAUAGAAAAAACCCUACCAGUGAUCAUUGGUUGUGCUACGAGAGAGCAAGGAGGGAGCGGGUUGCUUUUUCCAAAAUUUGUUUCUUUAUAAAGUUUUGUUGAAAGUGAGUUUUUUUUAACUUUGUUAAAAAUACAAAAUGAUGCUGGUUUUAACGGACUUUAAAUGAUCUCAUUUGUCCAAACUGUUCAAUAAAGCCUGAGAUUGAAUGUUAAGAAUAGAAGCCAAUUGUGAAACGUGUGUUUCGUCUGACCACACGGCGCGCUCCAUGAUGGUGAGAUCCCUGACAGUUAAAAAAAUCAGCUGGCGUAGAAUCAUCUGUUUCUUAUCCAUGAGUUCCAUUAUGGAGUUGCCGUGGUAACCACUGUCUGAUGCAGCCUUUUUUUCUUGCAUUAAAAUUACUCAUGCAUUUGUCAGGCC